This 59-nucleotide microRNA precursor is filed under the name Danio rerio (zebrafish). RNAcentral's name for it is "Dre-Mir-17-P4c_pre stem-loop". It matches the Rfam family "mir-17 microRNA precursor family", at positions 11 to 80 of the family's 80-position model. Rfam says of the family: This family represents the microRNA (miRNA) precursor mir-17, family, which includes mir-20, mir-91, and mir-103. miRNAs are transcribed as ~70nt precursors (modelled here) and subsequently processed by the Dicer enzyme to give a ~22nt product. In this case the mature sequence comes from the 3' arm of the precursor. The record is from RNAcentral. Lineage: Eukaryota; Metazoa; Chordata; Actinopteri; Cypriniformes; Danionidae.
CAAAGUGCUCACAGUGCAGGUAGUGCCAGUGGAUCUACUGCAAUGUCUGCACUUCAAGU